GCUUGGGUAGCUCAGUUGGUAGAGCACUUGCCCAUGAAAGGCAAAGGUCCCGAGUUCGAGUCUCGGUCCGGAACA
RNAcentral lists this transfer RNA (75 nucleotides) under Schistocerca americana (American grasshopper). RNAcentral describes it as "tRNA-Ser". It matches the Rfam family "tRNA". Rfam says of the family: Transfer RNA (tRNA) molecules are approximately 80 nucleotides in length. Their secondary structure includes four short double-helical elements and three loops (D, anti-codon, and T loops). Further hydrogen bonds mediate the characteristic L-shaped molecular structure. tRNAs have two regions of fundamental functional importance: the anti-codon, which is responsible for specific mRNA codon recognition, and the 3' end, to which the tRNAs corresponding amino acid is attached (by aminoacyl-tRNA synthetases). tRNAs cope with the degeneracy of the genetic code in two manners: having more than one tRNA (with a specific anti-codon) for a particular amino acid; and 'wobble' base-pairing, i.e. permitting non-standard base-pairing at the 3rd anti-codon position. Lineage: Eukaryota; Metazoa; Arthropoda; Insecta; Orthoptera; Acrididae. The record is from RNAcentral.